GGGCGUCUCUAUCUCAUUGCGAGAGGAGGCGCACCUAGAGCGUACACGCUGAUACCCGAAAGAUGGUGAACUAUGCCUGGCCAGGACGAAGCCAGGGGAAACCCUGGUGGAGGUCCGCAGCGAUUCUGACGUGCAAAUCGAUCGUCGGAGCUGGGUUUAGGGGCGAAAGACCAAUCGAACCAUCUAGUAGCUGGUUCCCUCUGAAGUUUCCCUCAGGAUAGCUUGCGCUCGAAUUGAAACGAGUCUCAUCCGGUAGAGCGAAUGAUUAGAGGCCUUGGGGUCGAAACGACCUCAACCUAUUCUCAAACUCCAAAUAGAUGAGAACCCCGGCUUUCUUGAACCAUGUUUAUGAAGCCGGGGGCUUGGAUCAGAGUGCCAAGUGGGCCAAUUUU
This 392-nucleotide ribosomal RNA is filed under the name Deraeocoris ulmi. RNAcentral describes it as "eukaryotic LSU rRNA". It matches the Rfam family "Eukaryotic large subunit ribosomal RNA", at positions 763 to 1138 of the family's 3401-position model. Lineage: Eukaryota; Metazoa; Arthropoda; Insecta; Hemiptera; Miridae. The record is from RNAcentral.